This 335-nucleotide long non-coding RNA is filed under the name Penaeus japonicus. RNAcentral's name for it is "uncharacterized LOC122254703". Lineage: Eukaryota; Metazoa; Arthropoda; Malacostraca; Decapoda; Penaeidae. The record is from RNAcentral.
AUUGAAAGUGUAAUAUACACCCAUUAUAUUAUCAUCAUGACUUCUGUGUAAAGAUUCCCUAACUCUCAUGACUCAGAUGGCCCAAUAACAAUAGCACAGGGACCUCUCGAAAGCAGUUGCUCGAAGAGAAGCACUCGGAAUUUGUACGGGAAGCACUGCCGGAGCUCCUUAGCCUCCUAGCUGGGCAUUUGCAAGUGGAAGACACAGAGAAAAAAAAGAAAACGGGUGACAAGCGCACAGCAAGAGAACUCCUAGGUUUCAUGAAGUCCGCAGGUGUGCUGUCCGUUGACGUGGUCAAGUCUCUGUCAUUCAUACUGGGAGCAUCUGUGCAGGGG